Long non-coding RNA from Centruroides sculpturatus (bark scorpion), 545 nucleotides. RefSeq lists it as uncharacterized. The transcript has 5 exons. NCBI's taxonomy places the organism in Eukaryota, Metazoa, Arthropoda, Arachnida, Scorpiones, Buthidae. The record is from RefSeq and is a predicted model, not a curated record.
GGACGUGUUCAUUUAUUUCUUUCUACUUACGUAAGGUUGACGUAUCGGUUAGUUUACGCUUGUUGCGUUAGUAAAGCUGUUUUCAUUAAUUACUUGUACAGCUUUUGAGCCACUCUCGAUUUUACAAGAAUGUGUUUUUGUUACGUGUUUCGAAUUUAUUUAUGUAAUUUUUUUUAUGAAGAGUAGACUAAUCGGAUGUUUUCUCCUGACAUUCAAGCUAUUGUCUAUUGGACGACAGAGGAUCAAUAGAAGAAUACAAUGGAGGAGGCUGCUACCGAGUACACACCCAUAGGAGGUUCUAAAGCUUUCCGUAAAGUUCGCAUCGAUACAUUUCAUACAUCUGCAUGUGAAGCGGAACUCCUUUCUUCAUAAAAAUCAUAGCAGUAUUGGGAUAACCCGCUUUAGAUGCAAUAUGCAUCAAUGUAUCUCCAUCCUAGAAAGCAUUCGAGCUUCUUUUCCAUAAACUCUUAGUAACAUUUGGAGUGGUGCCAAUGCAGCUCCGGUUGGUCGAGAGCAUAAAAUGUGAAUUGGCAAUUGAUCUUUGG